UAUAUUUUGGUGUAAGAUGCACGAGGAGUUUUGAUUUCCUAAGAUUUAGUUUAAAUCUAAAAAAUAUAA
RNAcentral lists this transfer RNA (69 nucleotides) under Triatoma rubida. Its description in RNAcentral is "tRNA-Gln". Lineage: Eukaryota; Metazoa; Arthropoda; Insecta; Hemiptera; Reduviidae. The record is from RNAcentral.